RNAcentral lists this non-coding RNA (163 nucleotides) under uncultured Desulfovibrio sp. RNAcentral's name for it is "FMN riboswitch (RFN element)". It matches the Rfam family "FMN riboswitch aptamer (RFN element)". Rfam says of the family: The RFN element is a highly conserved domain that is found frequently in the 5'-untranslated regions of prokaryotic mRNAs that encode for flavin mononucleotide (FMN) biosynthesis and transport proteins. This element is a metabolite-dependent riboswitch that directly binds FMN in the absence of proteins. The record is from RNAcentral. Lineage: Bacteria; Pseudomonadati; Thermodesulfobacteriota; Desulfovibrionia; Desulfovibrionales; Desulfovibrionaceae.
AUUCUCAGGGCAGGGUGCAAUUCCCGACCGGCGGUAAGUAUGAGGCAUGAACCACAAAGAAAGGUUGCUGCCAUGUGCAAGCCCGCGAGCCUGUUUCAGGUGAAACAGUGCAGAUCUGGUGCAAGGCCAGGGCCGACGGUUAGAGUCCGGAUGGAAGAGGAUG